This 897-nucleotide ribosomal RNA is filed under the name Vibrio sp. Its description in RNAcentral is "bacterial SSU rRNA". It matches the Rfam family "Bacterial small subunit ribosomal RNA", at positions 499 to 1403 of the family's 1533-position model. The record is from RNAcentral. Lineage: Bacteria; Pseudomonadati; Pseudomonadota; Gammaproteobacteria; Vibrionales; Vibrionaceae.
UACUCCGUGCAGCAGCGCGGUAUACGAUGCUGCGAGCGAUCAUCGUAUUACUGGCGUAAGCGCAUGCAGGUGGUUUGUUUAAUCAGAUGUGAAAGCCCGGGGCUCAACCUCGGAAUAGCAUUUGAAACUGGCAGACUAGAGUACUGUAGAGGGGGGUAGAAUUUCAGGUGUAGCGGUGAAAUGCGUAGAGAUCUGAAGGAAUACCGGUGGCGAAGGCGGCCCCCUGGACAGAUACUGACACUCAGAUGCGAAAGGGUGGGGAGCAAACAGGAUUAGAUACCCUGGUAGUCCACGCCGUAAACGAUGUCUACUUGGAGGUUGUGGCCCUGAGCCGUUGCUUUCGGAGCUAACGCGUUAAGUAGACCGCCUGGGGAGUACGGUCGCAAGAUUAAAACUCAAAAGAAUUGGCGGGGGCCCGCACCAGCGGUGGAGCAUGUGGUUUAAUUUGAUGCAACGCGAAGAACCUUACCUACUUUUGACAUCCAGAGAACUUUCCAAAGAUGGAUUGGUGCCUUCGGGAACUUUGAAACAGGUGCUGCAUGGCUGUCGUCAGCUUGUGUUGUGAAAUGUUGGGUUAAGUCCCGCAACGAGCGCCACCCUUAUCCUUUUUUGCCAGCGAGUAAUGUCGGGAACUCCAGGGAGACUGCCGGUGAUAAACCGGAGGAAGGUGGGGACGACGUCAAGUCAUCAUGGCCCUUACGAGUAGGGCUACACACGUGCUACAAUGGCGCAUACAGAGGGCGGCCAACUUGCGAAAGUGAGCGAAUCCCAAAAAGUGCGUCGUAGUCCGGAUUGGAGUCUGCAACUCGACUCCAUGAAGUCGGAAUCGCUAGUAAUCGUGGAUCAGAAUGCCACGGUGAAUACGUUCCCCGUCCUCUACACUCCGCCCGUCACACC